GCAAACUUGGUCAUUUAGAGGAAGUAAAAGUCGUAACAAGGUUUCCGUAGGUGAACCUGCGGAAGGAUCAUUACAAAUCCACUUAUAUAUGACAACGUUGAACAAAAGGGGGAGGAUGUUGCAGUUUCUGUCACAGAAGUGCACGCCCGCCCACAUAAGACAAACUACUGUUAUCACAAUGCACAGCCUAUAUCAAACAACACAACCUAGAAACAACUUACAACAAUGGAUCUCUAGGCUCUUGCAUCGAUGAAGAACGCAGC
Molecule: unclassified non-coding RNA, 263 nt
Filed under: uncultured fungus
Lineage: Eukaryota; Fungi
Description: partial contains small subunit ribosomal RNA, internal transcribed spacer 1, and 5.8S ribosomal RNA
Rfam family: Eukaryotic small subunit ribosomal RNA (bases 1-73)
Source: RNAcentral